RNAcentral lists this ribosomal RNA (469 nucleotides) under uncultured bacterium. RNAcentral describes it as "partial 16S ribosomal RNA". It matches the Rfam family "Bacterial small subunit ribosomal RNA", at positions 28 to 507 of the family's 1533-position model. The record is from RNAcentral.
GACGAACGCUGGCGGCGUGCUUAACACAUGCAAGUCGAACGGAAAGGCCCUGCUUGCAGGGUGCUCGAGUGGCGAACGGGUGAGUAACACGUGGGUGAUCUGCCCCUUACUUUGGGAUAAGCCUGGGAAACUGGGUCUAAUACUAGAUAGGACCAUGCUGUAGGUGGUGUGGUGGAAAGAUUAGUUUCGGUAAGGGAUGAGCUCGCGGCCUAUCAGCUUGUUGGUGGGGUAAUGGCCUACCAAGGCGUCGACGGGUAGCCGGCCUGAGAGGGUGGACGGCCACAUUGGGACUGAGAUACGGCCCAGACUCCUACGGGAGGCAGCAGUGGGGAAUAUUGCACAAUGGGCGCAAGCCUGAUGCAGCGACGCCGCGUGGGGGAUGACGGCCUUCGGGUUGUAAACUCCUUUCAGCCAUGACGAAGCCCUUGUGGUGACGGUAGUGGUAGAAGAAGCACCGGCUAACUACGUG